Molecule: long non-coding RNA, 1461 nt
Organism: Panicum virgatum (switchgrass)
Lineage: Eukaryota; Viridiplantae; Streptophyta; Magnoliopsida; Poales; Poaceae
Exons: 5
Source: RefSeq, a predicted model, not a curated record
UUCGGCUGCCGCCCUCUCCCUCCCUCGCUCGCCUUCUCCCCGUCGCCGCCUCCCCUCCCCUUCACGCUCUCAGCCUGCCUCCGUCGCCUCUCCCCGCUGCUGCCGCCGCUCGCUCCUGCGGGAUCCAGAUCUAGCGCGGGGCGCGGCUCGGAGGGAGAAGGGAAAGGGCGUGUGCCGACCGGCCACGCCGCGGCUACGCGCGGGGCUCGCCGCCGGGCUGCAGGAGCUCAGGCUCGGCGGCCGCGGCCCGAAGCACGGAGCCGGGACGGUGGCCGGCACCAGCGCUGAUGGAGCCUACUCCGGCCCCGGUGCGGCUGCUGCUCUGCCCAUGGCCGCGGGCGCCGGUGAGGGGUCGGCGAGCAGAGCAACGACCGGCGGUGGCAGUCGUGCGGGCUGGCCACAGGUCCUGCUGCUGGCUGUGCUGGCCCUGUCGCGUGGGGGCGCUGGGCGUAGUGAAGUCUCAGGCCGGUGACCGAAGACGGCGGCUGCGAUGCGGGCCUUGUCCCUCUUCCUCGACUUCGCCAAGCAGUUCGUCCCCUGCGUGCACCCCAAAGCUCGCGCCGUCAACAAUGCUGCUCUCGAUCUCCUGGCGGGGAGGUGGUUCGAGAACUUGGACGAUGAGGAGAGCUACGAGCGGUUCCGGCGGUUGCACGCGACUUAUCUGAGGUGUACGGCUGCACCCAGUAGCGACGGCCCUCUCCUCAUGGAGCAACGUGACGUCAUGGUGAACUGGAUCAUCGAGCAUUCGCACCUCAUGAAGUUGCAGCCAAUUACCAUGUUCAUGGGAUUGGACUGAUGGACCGCUUCUUGACACAAGGAUACAUGAAGGGUCUGAGAAAUCUGCAGUUGCUGGAUGCACCGGUACAACUGCCGGAGUUAGCGACUAUGAACUGAUGUGACCGCCGAACUCAAAAUGGCGCAACUUGCAGGUAGAAUGGGAUGAACAUGGGUAUGGAGGACCUGAAAGAGUUAGCCUACGGGAUAUUAAAACCCCAGAAAAUCCUCUGGUAAUCCUCUAGUUUUCUCUUCUCAGUUGAAUUAGAAGCGGCUAUGGUGGCUACCAGUUAUGGAGUUCCUGGGCUACAAAUUGAAUCUGUAAAUAUGUCAUCAAUUCCAAGGGCACAAUCAAAUCCUUUUGGUGUCUUGCAACACAUGCAAGGGAUCAGCUCAGAGUUGGCUUCGAUGCUUCUCAAUCAAUCUGGCUAGAUGAUGUUAACAUGUUGAUGAUGUGCUUGCUACCGGAUGUGGUGGUUUCGUAUUGAAUUCAUCUUAUACUAUGCAUAUAUUUUAAUUAUCACUUUUUUGUCUUAUGGUUAUUUAUAUUUGAUUGUUCAAACAGUAGGGCGCGCAUCGCGCGCCGAAUGUUCUAGUUAGAGAUUCAAAGUGUAUGAAAUGUUCUAUGAGGAGAUGGGCUGAUGGGCAUGACUUGUCUGACGUCAAUAGUGGACACUUUUAUGAUCA